GCUGGGCAUGGUGGCGCAUGCCUGUAAUCCCAGCUACUUGGGAGGCUGAGGCAGGGGAAUCACUUGAACUCGGGAGUUGGAGGUUGCAGUGAGCCAAGAUGCACCACUGUACUUCAGCCUGGGCAACAGAGUGAGACUCCAUCUCAA
This 147-nucleotide non-coding RNA is filed under the name Gorilla gorilla gorilla (western lowland gorilla). Lineage: Eukaryota; Metazoa; Chordata; Mammalia; Primates; Hominidae. The record is from Rfam by way of RNAcentral.